UACGUAGGGGGCAAGCGUUGUCCGGAAUCAUUGGGCGUAAAGAGCGUGUAGGCGGCCAUGUAGGUCCGGUGUGAAAACUCGAGGCUUAACCUCGAGAUGUCAUCGGAAACCAUUUGGCUAGAGUCCGGAAGAGGAGAGUGGAAUUCCUGGUGUAGCGGUGAAAUGCGCAGAUAUCAGGAAGAACACCAAUGGCGAAAGCAGCUCUCUGGGACGGUACUAACGCUGAGACGCGAAAGCGUGGGGAGCGAACAGG
This 253-nucleotide ribosomal RNA is filed under the name uncultured bacterium. RNAcentral describes it as "partial 16S ribosomal RNA". It matches the Rfam family "Bacterial small subunit ribosomal RNA", at positions 524 to 776 of the family's 1533-position model. The record is from RNAcentral.